This 253-nucleotide ribosomal RNA is filed under the name uncultured bacterium. RNAcentral describes it as "partial 16S ribosomal RNA". It matches the Rfam family "Bacterial small subunit ribosomal RNA", at positions 524 to 776 of the family's 1533-position model. The record is from RNAcentral.
UACGAAGGGGGCUAGCGUUGCUCGGAAUGACUGGGCGUAAAGGGCGCGUAGGCGGUUCAUACAGUCAGAUGUGAAAUUCCCGGGCUUAACCUGGGGGCUGCAUUUGAUACGUGUGGGCUUGAGUGAGGAAGAGGGUUGUGGAAUUCCCAGUGUAGAGGUGAAAUUCGUAGAUAUCGGGAAGAACACCGGUGGCGAAGGCGGCAACCUGGUCCUUGACUGACGCUGAGGCGCGAAAGCGUGGGGAGCAAACAGG